AUUGAACGCUGGCGGCAUGCCUUACACAUGCAAGUCGAUCGGUAACAGGUCUUCGGAUGCUGACGAGUGGCGAACGGGUGAGUAAUACAUCGGAACGUGCCUAGUAGUGGGGGAUAACUACUCGAAAGAGUGGCUAAUACCGCAUGAGAUCUACGGAUGAAAGCAGGGGAUCGCAAGACCUUGUGCUACUAGAGCGGCCGAUGGCAGAUUAGGUAGUUGGUGGGAUAAAAGCUUACCAAGCCGACGAUCUGUAGCUGGUCUGAGAGGACGAUCAGGCACACUGGGACUGAGAAACGGCCCAGACUCCUACGGGAGGCAGCAGUGGGGAAUUUUGGACAAUGGGCGCAAGCCUGAUCCAGCAAUGCCGCGUGCAGGAUGAAGGCCUUCGGGUUGUAAACUGCUUUUGUACGGAACGAAAAGCCCCGGGUUAAUACCCUGGGGUCAUGACGGUACCGUAAGAAUAAGCACCGGCUAACUACGUGCCAGCCGCCGCGGUAA
Molecule: ribosomal RNA, 498 nt
Filed under: uncultured bacterium
Lineage: Bacteria
Description: partial 16S ribosomal RNA
Rfam family: Bacterial small subunit ribosomal RNA
Source: RNAcentral